GACGAACGCUGGCGGCGUGCCUAAUACAUGCAAGUUGAGCGCUGAAGGUUGGUACUUGUACCAACUGGAUGAGCAGCGAACGGGUGAGUAACGCGUGGGUAAUCUGCCUUUGAGCGGGGGACAACUUUUGGAAACGAAUGCUAAUACCGCAUAAAAACUUUAAACACAAGUUUUAAUUUUGAAAGAUGCAAUUGCAUCACUCAAUGAUUAUCCCGCGUUGUAUUAGCUAGUUGGUGAGGUAAAGGCUCACCAAGGCGAUGAUACAUAGUCGACCUGAGAGGGUGAUCGGACAAAAUGGGAAUGAGAAAAGGCACAAAAUCCUACGGGAGGCAGCAGUAGGGAAUCUUCGGCAAUGGACGAAAGUCUGAACGAGAAAAGCCGCGUGAGGGAAGAAGGUUUUCGGAUCGUAAAACUCUGUUGGUAGAGAAGAAAGUUGGUGAGAGUGGAAAGCUCAUCAAGUGACGGUAACUAAACAGAAAGGGACGGCUAACUACGUG
RNAcentral lists this ribosomal RNA (497 nucleotides) under uncultured bacterium. Its description in RNAcentral is "partial 16S ribosomal RNA". It matches the Rfam family "Bacterial small subunit ribosomal RNA", at positions 28 to 507 of the family's 1533-position model. The record is from RNAcentral.